This 73-nucleotide transfer RNA is filed under the name Treponema sp. Its description in RNAcentral is "tRNA-Arg". It matches the Rfam family "tRNA". From Rfam's summary of the family: Transfer RNA (tRNA) molecules are approximately 80 nucleotides in length. Their secondary structure includes four short double-helical elements and three loops (D, anti-codon, and T loops). The record is from RNAcentral. Lineage: Bacteria; Pseudomonadati; Spirochaetota; Spirochaetia; Treponematales; Treponemataceae.
GGCCCUGUAGCUCAGUGGAUAGAGCAUCGGUCUUCUAAACCGAUGGUCGCCUGUUCGAUCCAGGCCAGGGUCA